This 492-nucleotide ribosomal RNA is filed under the name uncultured bacterium. RNAcentral describes it as "partial 16S ribosomal RNA". It matches the Rfam family "Bacterial small subunit ribosomal RNA", at positions 29 to 507 of the family's 1533-position model. The record is from RNAcentral.
AGUGAACGCUGGCGGUAGGCCUAGCACAUGCAAGUCGAACGGCAGCACAGUAAGAGCUUGCUCUUACGGGUGGCGAGUGGCGGACGGGUGAGGAAUACAUCGGAAUCUACUUUUUCGUGGGGGAUAACGUAGGGAAACUUACGCUAAUACCGCAUACGACCUACGGGUAAAAGCAGGGGAUCUUCGGACCUUGCGCGAUUGAAUGAGCCGAUGUCGGAUUAGCUAGUUGGCGGGGUAAAGGCCCACCAAGGCGACGAUCCGUAGCUGGUCUGAGAGGAUGAUCAGCCACACUGGAACUGAGACACGGUCCAGACUCCUACGGGAGGCAGCAGUGGGGAAUAUUGGACAAUGGGCGCAAGCCUGAUCCAGCCAUACCGCGUGGGUGAAGAAGGCCUUCGGGUUGUAAAGCCCUUUUGUUGGGAAAGAAAAGCAGCAGGUUAAUACCCCGCUGUUCUGACGGUACCCAAAGAAUAAGCACCGGCUAACUUCGUG